RNAcentral lists this unclassified non-coding RNA (346 nucleotides) under soil metagenome. Its description in RNAcentral is "partial contains 5.8S ribosomal RNA, internal transcribed spacer 2, and large subunit ribosomal RNA". The stretch from base 1 to 120 matches the Rfam family "5.8S ribosomal RNA", at positions 35 to 154 of the family's 154-position model. The record is from RNAcentral.
GAUGAAGAACGUAGCGAAAUGCGAUACGUAAUGUGAAUUGCGGAAUUCAGUGAAUCAUCGAGUCUUUGAACGCACAUUGCGCCCCCUGGUAUUCCGGGGGGCAUGCCUGUCCGAGCGUCAUUGCUGCCCUCAAGCCCGGCUUGUGUGUUGGGUCUCGUCCCCCUUCCCGGGGGGACGGGCCCGAAAGGCAGCGGCGGCACCGCGUCCGGUCCUCGAGCGUAUGGGGCUUUGUCACCCGCUCUGUAGGCCCGGCCGGCGCUUGCCGAUCAACCAAAACUUUUUUCCAGGUUGACCUCGGAUCAGGUAGGGAUACCCGCUGAACUUAAGCAUAUCAAUAAGCGGAGGA